CCUCCCCCUGGCGCAGUAACGCCUGAGUCUUCUAGAGCACUUUCUAGCCCUGGAGCUAUUGUACCCCUUCACAAAGGGGAGUAAGCAUCAUUGGCUCCAGUUUACAGCUGAGGAGACUGAGGCACGAAAAAAUGAAAUCACUUUCCUGAACUUGUGUGUCGGGUCAGUGGUGAGGCCAGGAUUAGCACAGGAGUCUCCUGGUACUAGUCCAGUGCGCUUUGAAGUAGGUCACACAGGACAGGCUGAAGUGCUAGGGUGAUAUCUACUGUUCAUGCCCAGACUGCUGUGGGGUGGAGGAGGACAGCUUUGUGCUGCCUGUGAACUCUUUAGGGAGCCCUUGACAAAUCUGGAUACCUUCCCCUUUACCACCAUCCUCUGAAACCCAUCCUAAUUGUGGCACCUUUCCCAUUCCCACUCCUCUGGCUCACAGAAAUAGAGCUGGCAGGAGGAACCCACUGAUUUUUGGCUUGGGGGAAAGUUUUCUGUUAUACCUUCAUUUACAUAAAAAUGAUACAUUUGGUCAAAGCAGGACACAUCAGUAGAAUUCCUUAAUGUCUGGUCUAUACACACAGACCGUGGCAGGACACCUAACAGGCAUGGCCAUGCAGGUGGUGGUAAGGACAAGGGAUGGAUUCUCUUGCAACUUAGAGCUCAGACAGGAAGAAGAGGCAAUUAACAGGAGGGAGUUCCUGAUUUGUGUAAACCAGCACUGCUGCUUUAUUAGCUGCAAGCGUUCAUGUUCUGUCAGGGACCACCCCUAGAAAGCAGCUCUCAGCAGCCAGGAGGGUCCACUGCCAAUCACCAACUGCCUUGGAACCUUCUGGUUGCACUGUUCCAUCCCAUCCUGGUUAAACAGAUCCCUGAUGGCUAGAGAAAGAGAAGUUACUUGCAUUGUAGCAUCUAGAGUUCUCUGAGAUGUGCGGUCGCUGUCUGUGUUCUACUGGUGGAUGUGCCUGUGCCUUGGGCACCUGAGACUGGAAGAUUCUUACUAGCAGUGUCUAUUAGCCUGCACCUACACCCUUCUCAUGUUGCACACCAAGAGUAUAAGGGGCAGCCUGGACAGAUUGCUUCUCCAGUUCCUUCACCACCACGAAUCAAGGCAGAGGGGAAGAAGGAGAGGUAGCAGAAUACAGAUAGGGACUACACACCUGAAACUACUUCAGUUACUAUAAGGUUUGAUGUCCAUCUGAAUACCAGCUGUGAAAUGGAGAGUGUAGAUUGGGAUGUUGGACCUUGCCAUGUCCUGGGUCAAGGACUCUGGAAAGAAUUCGAUGCUGACGGAUGGACAGAUUGACAGAUGAAGAAGACUGGAAAAUGGGAGUCACAAGAAUGAUUAUUGCUGUAUCCUGUUGGAUCUUCUGUAGGACUUGAGAUAAGAGUGGAAUGAGUGGAAAGGCAUCCAUGAGAUUAGCAGGACAAUGCCUCUAAAGCCCUGACCUAGAGUCCCUCUGAGCAGUACAUUUUGCAAUUCUUGAUGGCUUGGGAUGCAAAGAGGUCCUAAUAUAGGGUUUUCCACUAAAUUGUGUAACAUCCACUCAUGGUCGGUCAAGCAAUGAGGCUGUCUGCUGAGAACUGUGUUUUCCAAGAAGUGAACUGUUGAUAGGGUAAUCUCAUGGUGAGUGCCCCAGGUUCACAGACUGACUGCUUCUAUGUAGAGGGGAGUGGAUCUUGCCCCUCCCUGCUGUUUGAUGUAGAACACUGUAGUCCUGUUAUCCAGCAUCACUAGAAUAUGAUUGGAUCAUAUAACUGGUAAAAAAGCUUUGCAGGCUUCCUGGACAGCUCUCUUCUAGUAGGUUUAUAUACAUUCUAGCCUCCUGAGAAGUCCAUAUGCCUUGUCCUAUAUCCAGGUGGGCACCCUAAAAAGUAGGAAUUCAUCUGUGUUCAGCAUUCUCUCGAGUGUGGGAGGGAGGAAGAGGACCCCCCACACUAUUCCUUGUUCAUCUACCACUUUAGAGAAUCCUUCAGUCUGGAAUGGAACAUUACUACUGUGUCCAUGCUGUGUUUUCUUGGCACACAAUCUGUUUCAAGCAACAUUUAUAGACAACUGAGAUGAAACCUUGCAAAAGAUGUCACAUGGGUGCAUGACACUAUGUGACCCAAGAGGAUAAGGCAGAAACAAACUGAUGUCUGUGGACUCUUCUUGGUUGAUUAAAUUGUUCAUUGACGGGAAGCUGUCUAAGGGAAGAUAAGCUUUUGCCCUGAUAGAGUCCAGAGUUGCUCUGAUAAAUUCUAUAGUUUGUGUUUCAGACAGGAUAGACUUUUCUAAAUUCACACAGCUCCCUAGUGAUGCCAGAAGAUUCAGCAGAGAUUAAGUUGAUGUCAGAACUUUUGACGAGAACUUGUGUAGCAAGAAUCAAUUAUCUAGGUAAGGAAAGACUGUCGAGCUGUGGCAAUGGACAUGUGCUGCUUCUACUGAGAAUACCUUUGUAUUGGGGUUGCUGUUGAGUCUUUUAUGCUGUGUUCACACUACUAGUUACAGGUUUCAGGUACAUAGUCAGCUAAGCCAUGUUUCUGCUACCCAUGCUACCAUCCCCACACUACUCCUGCUAGUUUGAUGUCAGGCACAUGGAAUGCAUGUGUAACACACAGUGAAAUACACAUAGGGACCAGCAUUCAAAGAACCUACUGAUCCCACUGUUAAAGUAACAUCACCAAAACAUUCACAGGGGAGAGCAAAAGUAAUAUUUGUCCCACACGACAAUGGCAGCACUUUCCCUUGCUUUCACAGUUCCUGACACAAUCACAGGAAUGCAUGCAGGAGGACAUUUUACCCCUCAUACCACAAUUACCUUGAAAAUAUCAGUGGCUGGCUGCAGGACUAGCCAACUGCUGAAAAUUGGAUUCUUGACUCUGGUAGUAGUCAGAUUUGGAGUCAAAAUCUGGAUUUUAAAUUUUAAAUACUAGAGGAGAAGGAAGGAACUCAGGAUUAUAAACCUCUCGGCUUACCUUUGAAUUUUGGAUCAGUCAUUUUGGCUAAGUAAUGGAAAGUUUCCAAAGCAUUGUUUUUUCAAUGUUGUCCUUACGUUGUUACAGAUUUUUGUUAAUUAGAUCACACCAGAGUUCCACUCAAACUGCAACAGUAAUCAUAAAGUAAUCUGUCAAGUCCCUCUGAAACCUCUUUCAAUGUUUUUUUUAAAACAUAAUACCUCUCUGUAGAGUCCUUUAUUGUGUAAAGAAUGUGCUGUGUUAUGACUAAAGGCCUCCUUGUGUACAGUGCAAAUUUCAUCAGACUUGGGACAGCUGAACAUAAAUUCAAGACUACAGUCCUCCUGAAAGUUCUCUUGAGCAUUAUUGAGAAGGCUUAUCUGUUCUGGGCUUCCCUAAAAGAGCAAGUGCCAGAGAGGCCAAGGAAUGAGACAGUGCUGCACCCAUUCAGAACAAGGUAAGCUGAAGGGCACACAGGCCCAGUAUGGUUGGACCAACCCACAGCAGCCAGCGAGUGUUCAACUCCAGCUCAGGGAGCUCUACCAAGGCUGAGAACAUAUUGGAAAAAGAUUUUCUGAUUGCAAAAUCUGAUUGCAAAAUUCUGGAUAAGUUCAUCAAAGCUGACUCGAUGAAGCAUGUCCGUUUCCAUACACAAUAGAAAAAGCAAUGAUGCAGAACUGAAACCAGAAUAAUCAACUCUGACAGGAAAAGACAUUAAUAGGAGCAAGCAAAAUAAACUGGAGAUCUAAGUAAUGGCUAAUCAACCUAAGAGGAUUUACCUAAUUAAUCCUGUGUUGCAGAGCUAUCCAGAUUGCUUCUCAGUCUACUCCCUAUGUAACUAUUUAUUACUUACUGUUAGCUUUCUAGAAGAAGUAAAAACAUCUUGUAACAAGGAAGACUACAUUACCUAUUUUUGAACUGCUUUAUUGUUCUACUGCACAGGUAGUCCCCUAUACUGCUACUGUACAGUGAAAAUAUUUCCAGAAUUUCAAACAUUUUGCAAUCAUUCUUAAUCAUAGUCCAACUGAAAAGUCAAGAAAAAUAAUAAUUUUGAAAGUAAUAUUUUUUUAUAGUAUUACCUGUUUUCUUUAAAGACAUUGUGAAGGAAAACAAUAGUUAACUACCAGAAGGCUAGAUUGCCUGGGAUAGAUACAGUUGCAAAAUCUAGCCCUUAUAAAUAAAUGUAACUGUGGUCAUUUUUUUGUUUUGCUUGUUUUUUUCCUUUACAUAGUUACAUCAUUUGCUGAAGACAAUCUCACAAAAAGUAUUUUGUAAGAAAAAAAAAGCAAAUGGUUAAUGUUUAAAGAACAUAUUUUUGGAUACAUUUUAAAUAUCUACAAAGAAAUUUCAGAAUGUGGUAGAUAUGUGUCAUGUAUACUUUUAGUCUAAGUAAAGCAAUCAUAUGAAGAGAUUUUAAAAAUAGAUUAAGUGUUUUAUAAUCUUGCCUACACUAGCCAGCUGAAGGCUUUAAAUAAUUUAAUCCCUACAGCAACUGCCAGUCCCAACUGGAAUACUGAAACAAGGCCUGAAUUCAGUUGAAACCCAACAGCUGCAGUCUAAUAGUGCUUCCUUAAUUCAGCUACUGAUCUGAGUUUAUGCUUAUGGAGGACACUAUAUUCUUAAAUUCACUAGGGCAUUAAUUAAAUUAGUCUAAGUGCCUCAUGUUUUGUCCGAUCUUCCACUAUCAAAUUUACCUCAAACGUUACUCUAUUUUCUUCUCCUCCCUCCUACAAAUUCUUGGUUUUCAUGCCAGAUGCAAUACAAAUAGCUUUAAAAGCUUUUUAAUGUAACUAUCAUCUUAUAAUUUCUAUGCUAUUAUGAUGAAUUUGGGCUAUAUCUGUACAAAUUAUGAAUCUGGUUGAUACUGUGAAAAAGUGCUGUGUCGUGAAUGCCUAUAUGUAUGUGGCUCCACUAUUGCUGACAGGUCCUGUACUGUACACAAAGAGAGAAACACUGAAGUGGUGUUUAGGAUUCAUAAACAAUGGGUGAGCUCCAUCCUUAGAAAACCAGCUUUAGCUUAACUCUUCUGGGGUGGAAAAGGCAGGAAUGGUGGAAAGUUAUCUAAAGACAGAACAAAGGAAGCUGGGGCAGGGGAGUUGGGGUAGGAUGUAAAUAAUAAGUAAACACAUGCUCUCAGCACAGCCUGCAAGUGGGCUCUUGUCUCAAUUUCCCUCAAUUCCUUGCAUGAACUCAGAAUAGCCGUCAGAGUACAUGAACAGCCCUUUUGUGAGAAGCCUUUUUUUACCAAAACUACCACUACCAUAAACCAGAACCCUCCCCCCACCCCAAUACAAUCCAAACAGAACAUUCAUCCCCACAUCCAACAUCUCUCACCAAACCCCAUCUUGGGUACAGUUCUGGCAUCUCUCUCACCAUGGUUCAGCUCAGUUGAGGUAUCUCUGACCAUGGCUCACCCCAGCUCCUAUAUAUGGGAUCUUUCACCACCCUGUUUCCUUCCCAGUUAUGUUUCCAGGCAGCUCUUGCCUGGAGACAUCUGCCAGUUCAGCCUUCCAUCAUUCCCAGCCUUCAACCCUCUCUAGUCCUCCAACUUCAGGUCUCUAGCUCAGAUAGCCAGCAAGCAUCUCCCUCUCCAGCUCUCAGCCUUCAGCCCUCUCCAGCCCAGCUUUGAUGUUCUAGUAUGGGCUGCCACUCGGGUGGACAGCACUUGGUGCUGGGCGCACAGUCCUUUUGUAACCUCUCAUUGCUGCGCGAAUUAUUACAAGUCAUGUGACUAUUUCCUGCUACAAGUUCCCACCAAACUUCAAAAAGAACACCAACUGGGCAAUAAAGAAAGGGGACUAACAUGGAGGGCAAACAACAACUCAGGCAAAAAAAAAAUGGCAAAACCAGCCAAAAAAGUGAAAUUGCCCCUAUUGAGAGAGAGGAAAUCCUCUGCCGCAGUGGCCUGCCCAGAGCCGGCUCUAGGUUUUUUGCUGCCCCAAGCUCCGAGAGCGCAACUGCUCAGGCAAAAAGAAGAAGAAGAAAAAAAAGGAUGGCCGGAAUGCUGCCCCCAGAAUUGUGCGCCCCAAGCAUGUGCUUGCUUUACUGGUGCCUGGACUGGCCAUGGGCCUGCCAUAUGAAUUUGAGCUGAUCCACUAACAGGUGUUCUUUAUCAUAAUAGUAUUCAGUUUAGCUGCAAAAAAAAUAGCCUGAUGCAUGACUGAAGUGUGUUGUGCCCCCUGCAAGAGUCUAGUCUUUCCAACUGGGAGAACCACCAUGCUUUUGCAAGGUGCCUGUUGCUGAGUCAUUGGCCCAUCUACCUUGGGGAGAAAUUUAUUUUACCUGAACCUGUUUUACUCUAGUUCCCCACUGAGUUCCCUCCCUGCUGAGCAGCAGCAGGAGCUCUGUGCCAUUGAAGAAGCCUGCUAUCAAGCCAAGGUGAGAAGUACAAGGUAGGAUUUCAUCAUGGGCAGCUUGUGAACCACCGGCUGGGGGAGGCCAGCCCCCCCAGCCCUCCCCUUCUGUCUGAGGCCUCACCCGUAUCUACCCCGAGCCCAGAACCCUCCUCACCGCUGCUAUCAGCCUCAAGCCCCACCCCAGGCUAGGCCCCGCCCCAGAGCGUCGGGAAGUCGGGCAGGCGGUGCUGCUGCAGUACCCACAGCCCUGGCUGGAGGACAGGGGAACUGGAGGUUGGCGCCACACGCAGGCAGAGUGGUGGUAAGCAGGAGCGGGGGAACCUGGGCAUGGCAGAGCAUGGGUGGGGCCACGCCUGGCUGUUUGGGGAGGCACAGCCUCCCCAGCCUAUGGGACCACCACCCAUGGAUUUCAUUAUUUCCAUGAGUCAAGUCGCAGACAAUCUAGGCAAAAUCUGUGUUUAAGAAUAGCUUAAUGGAGCGCUGCAUGGCCCAGAGGAUAUGAAGGGAUACAAAAAUUUUCUCUUUCAGGUCACCAAGUCAGCUCUGACCCAGGUUGGUAGCUACCAAAGUCAUGCUUGCAAGAUUUAUUGUAUGAAAUAGUUGGUGGUCUCAGUCCAGUUCCCAGUGGAUAGGUUCAUAUCUGUCUCAGCAGCAAGGUCAAAAAGUAAAUGGAGGCUUGUGACAAAGUGUGGAUUUUCCCUUGUUAUGUUGUUUGUGAGUCUUACUGUUGAGCCUAUGUGAGUUUUACUGUUUUGCAAGAAUACGUGUGCCUCAGUUUUCCUGUGUGCUGCACCAAUACCUCGGUGGUAGGAAUAGGGGUGUGUGACUUUGGCUGAGACUCUGGGGCAGGUGAAACUGCUCCAGCUGCCUGCACAUAUUCUAUGACUGGUGCCGUUCAUAAUCUGAGAUCCAGGAGGGGGAUGUAACCAGAUGACUCUUUGCCCGGGAAGUGAGACAAAGAGAAGGAGGAGGAGCAACGAGGGUGUCUGAGGUCGAGUUGCUGGAAGCUGGCAGUCUGCUUGGGGGGACUGGAAAAGAGGGAGUCCAGGCCACCUGGUCCAGGACUCCCCAAGAUGGACUUGACUGAAAGUCACUGAGUUUUGUGCUAACAAGUUCUGUUCUAUGCUGUGUUCCUGUCAACUAAUAAAUCUUCCAUUUU
Molecule: long non-coding RNA, 7440 nt
Organism: Dermochelys coriacea (leatherback sea turtle)
Lineage: Eukaryota; Metazoa; Chordata; Testudines; Dermochelyidae
Exons: 5
Source: RefSeq, a predicted model, not a curated record